Molecule: long non-coding RNA, 1588 nt
Filed under: Anser brachyrhynchus (Pink-footed goose)
Lineage: Eukaryota; Metazoa; Chordata; Aves; Anseriformes; Anatidae
Description: lncRNA (ENSABRG00000011535.1)
Source: RNAcentral
GGUGUGCGGGGCUCAUGUGAGGUGUGCGACUCCCCGACGCGACCCCCACCACACGCCGCAAAAUGGCGGCGGGGCUCGGGCCGGGCCGGGCCGGGCCGGGCGGGCCGGGCCGUGCCGCCCGUUGCUAGGCGACCGACUGCCUCCUCGCCUCGCCGGGCCCCGGCGGCCGCCCUACUCUCACCCGCGGUCGGCCGCGCGCUCCCAUUGGCUGCCCCCGCGCGGCGCUCGGCUCCCAUUGCUCCGCCGCCGCCCGUGCCGCGUCCUCAUUGGCGCGCCGCCCUCUGGCCACGCCGCGUCACUUUCUCACACCAUUCCCCCCGCCUCCUCCGGCGGCCGCGGCGCGCUCGGAGGGCGGGACCCGGGACGGCGGCGGCGCCGGUGAUUGGCCGGCGGGAGCUGCCACUCAGCGCGCGGGCAGGAGCCCGGGCCGCGGGCCCGUUUAAAGGCGCCGCGCGCCGGCUACCGGCGUUUCCUCCUCGGCGGGAGUGCGGCACCGGGCGGCGGCAGCAGCGGCAGCGAUCGCCAUCGCCUCGCGCAGAACCCAAAGGGGAUGCAAAACAAAGCAGGUUCCUCGUUGCCUUACAUUGAAGCAUCUCAGGCUCUUGAUUUUUCGAAGAAGUAGUACUUCUGGGUACCAUUUCACUCUCAGUGACUGGGAUUGUUUGUUGUUGGACCAGGGGAACAAAAGGCUGCUUGUCUCAGGUCAGAUAAUUUCCAUCGUAACAAGUGACUUUCUUAAGAUGCCACACGUCACAUUUUCUUAAGUGACCAGAGCAGGCGUAUAAAGCAACGUUGUACACUGCGGUGUAACCUGACUGCCCUGGCUGCUGCUGCGCCGAGCGUACUUGGUGAGAAUACAACAGAAAUCGCCUCCCUUAAGUUGUCUUCCACAAAAAGCUCUUGAGCGAGGGAACUGCAGCAAGUAACGUGUAAUUAAAUGCUGGUGUUGAUCUCCAAGCCCUGUAACUGGCAAGCACAGAAGCAGAGUGUUUUCCUCAGAGCUCACCAAUGAUGCGAACCCUUUUGGCAUACUGAGCUGUCCUCAGAAGAAACGUCUGAUUAAAAGCCGUUGUUCUAGGGCUGUGACAUGACAAGUCCAUUAUAUGCCGUCAUCUUGUCUUCCGCGCUCAUAUGUAACUUAAUUAAAUCUGCAGCCUCUGCUCCCUGGUAACCAAUGAUGGGAUGCAUGGCAAUGGCAUGGAGCUGUGCCAGGGAGGCUGGGGCUGGACGUGAGGAAGAAUCUGUUUGCCAUGAGGGUGGCUGAGCACUGGGACAGGCUUCCUAGGGAGGUGGCUGGUGCCUGUCAGGGACACUCAGAUAACGCCCUCAGUAGCGUGCCCUUGAUAACUUUUGGCUAGCCCUGGUGUGGCUGGGCAGUGGGACUUGGUCAUCUUUCUAGGUCACUUCCAAGUGAGCUGCUCUGUCCCAAAAUUAACCAUCGCAGUCUGUGCAGGAUCGUGCUGGGGUCUGGGGGCGAGGCUCAGCCCUGGGGUGUCACCGUGACCGUGCCAGGGCAUCCCACAGCUGGCUGUGCCCUGUCUGGUGCCAUCCAGAGGGAGGAAGGGGUGUCUGUGCCAUGGCAUGCUGC